UAUUGCUAUGGUACCAUAGAAUCUUAGGCCUGGAAGGGACGUUGAGAGGUCAUGUAGACCAGUCUACUGCACUAAUGGCAGGACUAAAUAUUAUCU
Chelonoidis abingdonii (Abingdon island giant tortoise) is the source of this 96-nucleotide non-coding RNA. NCBI's taxonomy places the organism in Eukaryota, Metazoa, Chordata, Testudines, Testudinidae. The record is from RefSeq and is a predicted model, not a curated record.